This 1170-nucleotide ribosomal RNA is filed under the name Fictibacillus marinisediminis. RNAcentral's name for it is "bacterial SSU rRNA". It matches the Rfam family "Bacterial small subunit ribosomal RNA", at positions 371 to 1533 of the family's 1533-position model. Lineage: Bacteria; Bacillati; Bacillota; Bacilli; Caryophanales; Fictibacillaceae. The record is from RNAcentral.
AUGGACGAAAGUCUGACCGAGCAACGCCGCGUGAGCGAUGAAGGCCUUCGGGUCGUAAAGCUCUGUUGUCAGAGAAGAACAAGUACCGGAGUAACUGCCGGUACCUUGACGGUACCUGACCAGAAAGCCACGGCUAACUACGUGCCAGCAGCCGCGGUAAUACGUAGGUGGCAAGCGUUAUCCGGAAUUAUUGGGCGUAAAGCGCGCGCAGGCGGUUCUUUAAGUCUGAUGUGAAAGCCCACGGCUCAACCGUGGAGGGUCAUUGGAAACUGGGGAACUUGAGUGCAGGAGAGAAAAGUGGAAUUCCACGUGUAGCGGUGAAAUGCGUAGAGAUGUGGAGGAACACCAGUGGCGAAGGCGGCUUUUUGGCCUGUAACUGACGCUGAGGCGCGAAAGCGUGGGGAGCAAACAGGAUUAGAUACCCUGGUAGUCCACGCCGUAAACGAUGAGUGCUAGGUGUUGGGGGGUUCCACCCUCAGUGCUGACGUUAACACAUUAAGCACUCCGCCUGGGGAGUACGACCGCAAGGUUGAAACUCAAAGGAAUUGACGGGGGCCCGCACAAGCAGUGGAGCAUGUGGUUUAAUUCGAAGCAACGCGAAGAACCUUACCAGGUCUUGACAUCCUCUGACCAUCCUAGAGAUAGGACUUUCCCCUUCGGGGGACAGAGUGACAGGUGGUGCAUGGUUGUCGUCAGCUCGUGUCGUGAGAUGUUGGGUUAAGUCCCGCAACGAGCGCAACCCUUGACCUUAGUUGCCAGCAUUCAGUUGGGCACUCUAAGGUGACUGCCGGUGACAAACCGGAGGAAGGUGGGGAUGACGUCAAAUCAUCAUGCCCCUUAUGACCUGGGCUACACACGUGCUACAAUGGGUGGUACAAAGGGUUGCAAAGCCGCGAGGCCGAGCCAAUCCCAAAAAGCCACUCUCAGUUCGGAUUGUAGGCUGCAACUCGCCUACAUGAAGCCGGAAUUGCUAGUAAUCGCGGAUCAGCAUGCCGCGGUGAAUACGUUCCCGGGCCUUGUACACACCGCCCGUCACACCACGAGAGUUUGUAACACCCGAAGUCGGUGGGGUAACCUUUUAGGAGCCAGCCGCCGAAGGUGGGACAGAUGAUUGGGGUGAAGUCGUAACAAGGUAGCCGUAUCGGAAGGUGCGGCUGGAUCACCUCCUUU